GCUUCUCCUUCCUCUCACUGGGUGAAAUCAGAGCUGUUAUUUCACAGCGCAGCUUGUGAUUUAUGGCUGUAAUCUCAACCACAAGUUGAGCUGGCAGUAGUUAGGGGAGCCACGAGGAAUAAGCGAAGGGCUCGCUAUUUAUUUCUGCAUCCUCUAUGCUCUUGAGGUUUUUAUUUCUUCAAGGCGAGGGCAAGGAAAUAUGGCUUUCUGCUGAGUAAAGAGGGGACAAUGAAAAGGAAAAAGUGCCAGGGAUUUGUGCUGAAGCAGCUCGUGUCGGGCAAAUUUCUGAACUCUGAGACUUGAGGUCACCAUGGGAAGCAGAGCAAUGCACGGGACGCAGUGCGGGCAGCUCCAGGAGCAGAUUUAGGGGUGGCCGUGUCCCUUCCUCCCCCGUCUGCUGCUCCAUCAUUUACUUUUAUGGCUCUCAGCUGUGAAUCCACCGCAGUCCUUCUGGGAAGCGCAGCUUCACACUGAUCUUAAUGGGUCCUUAAAUCAAAGGCGUCGCUGAAGGGGUGCACUGGCCAAAUGGAUCUGUGCUUUUCCUUCCAGAAAGGGAUGAGCUGUGGGUGGACGGCAUGUCUGAAACGUGGAAAUGCAGAGAAACCCCAUGCAGGGCUGAAAAUCCCAAACACCAGCGGCCAGCAAAGUAACAGCACUGCCAUAUUCAUGACGAUUAUCACCAUUCUUGCUUGUUUUGAUCUUUAUUUAAGAUUUGCAGUUCUGAUCUCCCCAGCUUUUCUUUGCCUAGAGGCUUCUUUUAUACCAAACAUCACUGAUACAAGAGCUUGGGGAUGCCAUAACCCCAAAUUUUCCAACACGGGAGCAGGUAGAACCAUUUACCCCACGACCCCCCGUGUGCUCAGAAGAAACCCACCACGUUCCGUCUGCUUUUUCUCACUUCACAGAAGAGAAGACCAUUUUCCAGGCUUGCUGCAGCCCACGGAGGAGGCAGACAGCACUAAGCCAGCUGAGGAAACGACCGAGCACUACCUCCCCUGCAAGGCUCUGGCUUUCCAGAGGUCAAGCAGUUUAAGAAUCUUGGCAGGAUGAAAAAAAAGCAGGAUUCAUCCCCCUAAUUGCUCUGUCUCUCUGGCCACCACGUCAUCCUGCUUCGGCCCAAGGUCAGUAACUUUCCUAAAUCAUCAUAUCCCAGAAUGCCACGGAGGACGCAUGGAACUCAUGCUGAAACGCACAGCCUUUGCACGAACACCCAUCGCCUCCUCGGCUUUGCCUCUCCACUCGAGAGUCCGUGCAGUUCUUGUUUUGCAGAAAAAGGAAGAACAGCGCUGAUGUAAUGACAGGAUUCUGGGAGCUGGAGAUUUAUGGGGGAAAAGUAAGCAAAUAGCCAGCAGCUCUUGAUAAAGUGGUGAGAAAGCACCUGCGGUGAGCUGCUAUUGCUUUGCCUCUUGAGUACGGCUGAUUGCAUGGGGUCAUACCCACCCGGGGCAAGGAGCAACCCUAAGCCCCCAGCAGCUAGAUGUGCUGCUCUUAAUUAACCCUGCUUAAUUACCAGGUGGGAACACAUCCUCCCCUGUACACUGGGAGCAGCACAACCAACCUGCAGUUAAACAUUGACGAGUUGCCUCCGCAGUGGAUUUCCAGGAAUCUAUUGAGAUAAGUGCAAGCCAUGGAAACAGCUCUUAAUCCACCUCCUGCCAAUUCCUUAAUACCUGUGCUUUAUUCCUUCCCAUCGGUGAUUGGAUCAGCAGCUCUUUGGAAGUCGAAGUGGCACAAGUGCUUUGCUUUGGUCUCUCUCACAGGGGGCCGUCAGAAAAGGACGCGAGAGAAAUGAAAUCUGUUAUUCUGGUGACUGCAUCGCCCUACGAGGGGUGAUGGGCAAAGGGAAACCCAGGGACCGCUCCUCUGCUCAGCAAUACCGAAUCCCCUAUCUCAGUUCCAAUAAGUAAUUCGUUCCACGUUCUGUCCAAGACUGGAGUUCAAAAUACAAUGAGAGAACACAUCUGUGAAUUUUUCUGCUAUUCACGAAGGUACUCAACUUGCCCAACAGCCCCUCCGCCGUCACACGCUGUAUCUCAAGGCCUUCUGGGACUCCAUUUUUGAGCCAAAACUGUGCCCACGAGAGACGUCACCUCCUGCCUGAUGAGCCUUUUCCCCUUUCCUGGCCCUGCGGUGUGCCAGCGGAGCAGGUCAUGGGACAGCCUGCCCCAGACUGCACCCACCGCAUCUCCGUGCGGUCCUUUCUCGCCUCUGAUUCUUUUUUGGAGAGGCCAGAUUUUGACCAUAAAAGGGAAGAAUGGAAUGUUGGGCGACACGCCAUGCCCCGAUUGGCUGAGCACCUACCCGUGAUGGUUUCGGGGGAAAUAACCAGGUCGGAGUCAUUUUCCUCUCCCCCCACCCCGAGCCGAGAACGAAAACAAUGCGACCAAACCGUGUGGUUCACCAUUGAAACCAAGGCAGGACUUUUUGUGUCUGUGCCUCCUAUUGCUCUUGGUUCCACCUGCAUGAAACCGAGCCCUCGCUUCUGGGUGUGCACGGCAGCUCUGUUUCCCAUCCAACAUCUCUGUGGCCGCCACCGGUUGAUGCUAUCUUGGAGAUGAAUGGGAGCGACCUGGUGGCCACGUUGGCCAGGAACCACAACUGCCUCCAGCCAACCUGGCAGCCCUUCUGUUGGGAGAACCCGAGAUCCUCCUUCUUGUGGUUGUCCAUCCCAUUUCCACAACCAAAACCCGUCAGAACAAAGCGCCUUUGUGCUUGGACAUCCCUCCCACCCAGCUGCCUUGUGACUGCCCUCGUUAGAUCACUUCUGUGGCUAAAAUAGGACUUUACUCUUGUGAGUCAUUUGCCUGAACCUGCCACCAGCACUGACUUACAACCUUUAAUAAAAAAUGAUAAAGAAGCUGAGAGGGUUUCCUGGAAACAUUGUCAGCCUUGAGUUGGGAGCAGAUGCUGGCAGCGAGCAAAGUUCUUUUAAGCCAUAAAGGCAUUUUCCUGUUUAAUGAUUACCCUGAGAAAUCUUGAGGCUGAAUCAGGAUGUUUGUGAUCAGCUUCACCCUUCUGGGAAGGCCGCACCCAGAGAAAUUCUUCUCUCAUUGCCUUCACCCAGUCAGAACGGGGUGGUGGUGUGGGUAACGCUGGCCCUGGAGCCAUAAGCUGUUCCCAGUUGUCACCAAUUUCUUCCUGUUUGCCCUCCAUUUGGGGCAGCUCCGGUGCCAGUCCUACCAGGCUCUGAGCAAGCCCUGGUUGAGAAGAAAUUCUUCUAUUAGCAGUCAUCCCAAGGCAUAGGGUUUAUCCUACAAAAACUCUUCUAGACCUCCUGCUUGCAGGAAUCCUUUUUGCAAGGGAAACGUUCCCAGCGCUGGUUGUUCCAGUGCUCAUGGAAGCCUCCUUGGUACCCAGUGCAAAUCUUCUUCCCUAUUGCUCCUCCACGUCAGCGUUCUCCCUCUUUGUGGGGCAGCACUUUGCAGAUAAGCUCCAGAGACGUUUCACCAUCACCCACCUUUCCAUCAGGCCACUUGCUCUGCCCUCACCCAUGGGUACCAUUGCUCUCCCAUGGCAGCAGUGCCUUGCAUCACUUCACCACCUGCUGCAAUCCCUCUUGCUGGUGCUACCGCAGCGGCGAG
This is a long non-coding RNA of Gallus gallus (chicken), 3581 nucleotides long. RefSeq lists it as uncharacterized. The record is from RefSeq and is a predicted model, not a curated record. NCBI's taxonomy places the organism in Eukaryota, Metazoa, Chordata, Aves, Galliformes, Phasianidae. The transcript is spliced from 6 exons.